Molecule: RNA transcript, 2093 nt
Organism: Schistocerca nitens (vagrant locust)
Lineage: Eukaryota; Metazoa; Arthropoda; Insecta; Orthoptera; Acrididae
Gene name: esterase FE4-like
Exons: 12
Source: RefSeq, a predicted model, not a curated record
UGUUGUUAACUAAAGCCGAACAACAUCGGUUAUUUUCAUUACAAAUAUAGGUUGUUUACUUUCCUUCUGGUUAUCGUUUGGUUAAGCGCAUCAUUACUGACGUUAGUUUUUCUAUGAAGACUCAGACAGAGUUACCCAGUUAGGUCACCAACAGCUAUCGUUUAAGUAAAGGAGAUCUCCAAGACAAUGGCGACACUUCGCUUAUUUGCAAUUUUACACCUCUGUUUAAUGCCAGUCGCCAUAUCAGCUGUCGAGUAUGUUACAGUGGACAUAGAAGAAGGCACAUUGAGGGGUCAGAUGUCCGAAACGUUAACAGGCAAACCCAUGUUCAUGUUUCAAGGCAUUCCGUUUGCGGAGGCACCAGUUGAUGAUCUCCGCUUCCAGCCUCCGGUGAAAAGGGCGCCUUGGACUGGUGUGAGAGACGCCCUGAAGACGCAACGCACUUGCGUACAGCUACACAGCAGCGGGAAAUCGACUGGUGGAGAGAACUGCCUGUACCUCGAUCUUUAUGGCCCAGGGACGCCAUCGAGAAACGGAACACUGAAAAGCGUUAUGGUUUUCAUCCACGGAGGAUGUUUCACAUCAGGAACUGGUUCUUCUGCGAGACCGUACUACUAUGUGGACCAGGAUGUCAUACUCGUCAACAUAAAUUAUCGACUGGGAAUUCUGGGUUUCCUAAGCACCGGAGAUGAUCUGGUCCCUGGGAACAUGGGUCUUAAAGACCAGACAGAGGCACUUCGUUGGGUGCAGAGGAAUAUAGAGGCUUUUGGUGGUGACCCACAAAAAGUAACCAUUUUCGGACAAAGCGCUGGAGGUGCAUCCGUUCAUUACCACGUUCUGUCUCCAUUGAGCAAAGGUCUGUUCAAGAACGCCAUAGCGAUGAGUGGAGCAGCAUCAAACACUUGGGCGUUCAAAAAAAGUGCUCCAGACAGAGCGGUGCGGUUUGCCAAAUACCUGGGCUAUACUGGCGAAAAUUCCGCUGAUCUCUUAAAUUUCCUCAAAACCGCAAAGGCGAGUGCAUUAGUGACGAACAUCACUGCCGCUCUGUCGGAAGAGGAAAGCCUAAGUUUGUUCGACUGCAUCUGGACACCCACUGCCGAACCUGAAAACGACGGUGCGUUUCUGACGGAAGAGCCGUGGACCCUUGUCGCUGAAGGCCGCUACAACCUGGUUCCUUUUAUGGCUGGUGACACUAAUAUGGAGCGACUUAAACAAACACAGAGUCGUGGUGCGUUAUAUACUGAAGAACAAGUAAGCAACUUCAACGAAAACUUCGACGAGAUUGUGGGGAUUGACAUACGACUUCCUACAAGGGAAGAACAGCUGAAGGCAGCUGCGUCCAUUAAAGAGUUCUACUACAACGGCAGCGACAUCACAGUGCAGGACAACUACACCACAUGCCUGUUGGAAACACACCGCCAUUUUGUGGAAGGAGUGGACGCUGCCGUCAGAAGCAUGGCUCGCUAUUCCUCGAACCCUGUCUACUACUACCAGUUCUCGUUCGUUGGUACUCGCAGUACUUUUCCUCGUGGUCCAGGUGCAGCUCACAACGAUGAUGUGAAAUACAUGCAUGCAACAGAUCUGGAUCCUGAUUCGGAUGAAGGUGUAAUCCAAGCUCAGAUGACAACAAUGUGGACUAACUUCGCUAAAUAUGACAAUCCGACGCCAGAACAGACCUCCAUACUGACAGAGACGUGGAAGGAGUACGAUGAAUCUUUACCUUACUAUCUGGAGAUAAAUGGACCUCUUAGCCUCAAAACUAACUUGUACGAACCCUACAUGACCUUUUGGCACAAGCUGUUGCCUUAAAUACCUCCUAUGUGCCACUAAUGACCACAUUUAACGAUUUGGUACGAGAUGGAAGUUGCUUAAAUGAAAAUUCCAAGAGCAGCAGUUUCAGUACACUGUUAUGUAUGAUAACGGAUAGGUGAACUGAUUUGCUAUAUUGAUAUUGUAGUCCUCAGAGACAUAGAUGUUGUACAAAACUGCUAAUAUUUUUAAGUGUUGUAGCUUACCCUUUCUUAACAAGCAUUAUUAAAGAGAUAAUGAUCAUACUGUGAGCCUCUUUUUUUUAAUUGUACCGUGUAUUGUGC